RNAcentral lists this transfer RNA (58 nucleotides) under Lepisosteus oculatus (spotted gar). It matches the Rfam family "tRNA", at positions 8 to 63 of the family's 71-position model. Rfam says of the family: Transfer RNA (tRNA) molecules are approximately 80 nucleotides in length. Their secondary structure includes four short double-helical elements and three loops (D, anti-codon, and T loops). Further hydrogen bonds mediate the characteristic L-shaped molecular structure. tRNAs have two regions of fundamental functional importance: the anti-codon, which is responsible for specific mRNA codon recognition, and the 3' end, to which the tRNAs corresponding amino acid is attached (by aminoacyl-tRNA synthetases). tRNAs cope with the degeneracy of the genetic code in two manners: having more than one tRNA (with a specific anti-codon) for a particular amino acid; and 'wobble' base-pairing, i.e. permitting non-standard base-pairing at the 3rd anti-codon position. Lineage: Eukaryota; Metazoa; Chordata; Actinopteri; Semionotiformes; Lepisosteidae. The record is from Rfam by way of RNAcentral.
UAGCUCAGAUGGCAAGGGUGUCUAGCUUCUGACUAGAAGGUCCUGGGUUCAAUCCCAG